GGCCUGUUUCCGGAUGUCAUGGCAGCCAUACAUGAGCAGCAAGUUUGAGAGGGGUCCGGGACAACGGGCCAGGAGGACAAGCUCCUCGUCGGGUUUGGAAAUUUUGCCACCCUGACGUUUAAAGAUCUCUAUGACGCCAAGGAUAAGGACUGAAAGGGGUAAGAUGUUUAAUCUAAUAGAAGCUGCUGGCUGUAGGAAUGUGUAGUGUAUGGGCUUGAGUUAGUCAUUUUUUGUUGGCAGAAAAAGGACAUCCGUCCUGGCACAAAGAUGGAGGCUCUGCAAAAGUACAUCAAAAGAAGAGACGCUGAGAAGUUGGGACAAAACCUUCCCAAAACAGCACCUCCAGGCACAUGACUAACAUCUUGUUUGCUUGUUAUUGGAUAUUUUGUUGCUUUUACAUCUUGUAAUUAUUAAUACUUAUUCUAAUAUUAACAGCGGUCGCUUCUAGCUCGGCAUCCACAGAGGAGCCAUCAGAUGCUGAUUUGCUUGCUGCAGCUGCACACAUAAAGGUUGCGGGUGAGUCAGACAUAGUUAUGAAUGGGUUUACAUUUGUGGUUUUGUUUUCAGAAUAUUGUUGUGCUUUGUAUAACAUGUUUUGUGAUUCUGUAUUAUCAGCUUUCAGAUGAUGGUUUUGGAAACAGUAAGGUAGGAGGUGUAUUACACAAUCUGAUCACACCAGCCCAUACCCUGGCUUUUUUGUACCUCUCUUGACUUUUUAUUAAUAUUAUUUUUUAUUUUUUUGCUUUUUAAAUUCCAUGGCAAUUCCCUUUACACUUUUUUUCCACUGCCGCAAUUUUUCUUCUCAUCUUUGAGCAUCCAACUUUUUCACCCAAUGCUGCCACACGCAAUUGUUUGUCAUAGUCAGCUUAUCUUUUUUGCACAUCUUCAUCUGUAUAUUUGGUGCAUUUCCAAUCAUUAACUCUAACAUACUACUAAUGUUUAACAUGAGUUUUAACAUCUAGCAGUAGUAAAUAGUAGCUGUAUUAAUCUCAUGUAGUAGUGACUAGUAAUAUUACAUGCAACAAUAAAAUGUAACGUUGCCUUUUCUAUGGGUCUCAUUCACUUUUUUUUGUUAUGCUUUGCAGCUGAUGGAAGCCAGUCAGUCAGUCAGCCAGAAGCCCUGCCCUCCUCAGAGAGAGCUGUGCCAAAAAAGCAGCCUGCGCCCACUGAAGAACUGCUGCUGCCUGAAGGUUGGAAGCAGACGCUCCCAAAAGAGUCUCUUUACCAGAGACAAGUCUGGGAAGCUGGCGCUGAACAAAAAUCUGCAUCUGUGGUGGUCUCCCCAGGACUCCGUCCUCUGUACUCCCAGCCUCCUUCUAAACCUGACGCCUUCUUUCACAGCAGGCUGUUCCUCUGGGUUCCCUACCGCAUGUGGGCCUACAAGCUGCUCUGCUCCCAGCCCAACUGCCAUCGCCUUGGGAUCCAGCUAACAGCUUCCAGCAUGUAAAAGACUGUCAGGAGGGUCUUGGACCUAAACGGGUGGUACUUCAUGGUGACUGAGUACCUUGAAUGCCAGUCCUGUAAAAAGAAGCUAGCAGCCUGGUCGCAAGAUAUCCUGGACCAGUUAGAUUCCAGCCACUGUGAACAAUUUCCUGCGGUCCUAACCUACAGGUUGUCCUGUGAUAGGGAGGUUGUGAGAAUGUUGCGGGGGCGCACGCUGGGGAACAGUGCCACAGCUCUGCACAGGCACCUGUGCCUCAGGCAUAAAGAAUAUUUCCUGGGCCAGUCAACAAUGUACCUGUCUGUGCUGAGGAAUUUUGUGACCCAGAACACUGAUCCCAGCAGUCUCAUUGCCGCGCUGCCACAGAUGGUGCCUGUCCCUAGUCCAUCUUGGCUGCUCUCAGUGUACGCCAAAGAAGUACUGACACGGCUUCCUGAACUGAAGGCCCGUGUCACCUCUGUCUAUGGCUCCAUUUUAAAGACGGAUUCCACCAAAAAGGU
Long non-coding RNA from Cyprinus carpio carpio, 1941 nucleotides. Lineage: Eukaryota; Metazoa; Chordata; Actinopteri; Cypriniformes; Cyprinidae. The record is from Ensembl.